Molecule: transfer RNA, 77 nt
Filed under: Vibrio fluvialis
Lineage: Bacteria; Pseudomonadati; Pseudomonadota; Gammaproteobacteria; Vibrionales; Vibrionaceae
Description: tRNA-Pro
Rfam family: tRNA
About the family: Transfer RNA (tRNA) molecules are approximately 80 nucleotides in length. Their secondary structure includes four short double-helical elements and three loops (D, anti-codon, and T loops).
Source: RNAcentral
CGGUGAAUAGCGCAGUUUGGUAGCGCAUCUGGUUUGGGACCAAAGGGUCGGGGGUUCGAAUCCCUCUUCACCGACCA